AGGCCUGGGCGAGCGAGGUAGGGCGGCGAGGGAGGGGGACUGCGAACAUCCGUCCCAUUCAGCGCCAGGGAACCAUUCAUUCCUCCCGGGCUCUUGCGUGUCCUGACCCUCUCAUCUCGGAAACACCAAGUGGACCAUAUUAGAGCAUUCGAUACGCUGGUCUUGGCAGUAGGGAUAGGAAACACGCAUACGACUACUGAGCUGCUGGAAGUCG
RNAcentral lists this long non-coding RNA (214 nucleotides) under Amborella trichopoda. Its description in RNAcentral is "long non-coding RNA (ATRI_LNC004150)". The record is from RNAcentral. Lineage: Eukaryota; Viridiplantae; Streptophyta; Magnoliopsida; Amborellales; Amborellaceae.